CAUGUAGUGUAAUGGAUAGCGUGUUGAACUUCCAAUCCAAAGGUCGUGGGUUCGAUUCCCAUCUAGAAUGG
Non-coding RNA from Trichonephila inaurata madagascariensis, 71 nucleotides. The record is from the annotation of a GenBank genome assembly. NCBI's taxonomy places the organism in Eukaryota, Metazoa, Arthropoda, Arachnida, Araneae, Nephilidae.